CGGGAAAAGCUCAAAUUUAAAAUCUGGCGGUCCCUGUGGCCGUCCGAGUUGUAAUUUAGAGAAGUGUUAUCCGUGCUGGACCGUGUACAAGUCUCCUGGAAUGGAGCGUCAUAGAGGG
RNAcentral lists this ribosomal RNA (118 nucleotides) under Mycena olivaceomarginata. RNAcentral describes it as "partial large subunit ribosomal RNA". Lineage: Eukaryota; Fungi; Basidiomycota; Agaricomycetes; Agaricales; Mycenaceae. The record is from RNAcentral.